GAUGAAUGCUGGCUGUGUGGAUAAGGCAUGCAAGUCGAAUGGGUUUAGACCCAUGGCGAACGAGGUAGUAACACGUAGGAUAACUUGCCCUAGAGUCGGGGAUAACCUGGAGAAAUCCAGAAUAAUACCCGAUGGACCCUUCUGUAAUUCAGGUAGGGUAAAGAUUUAUCGCUCUAGGAUAGGCCUGCGGGAUAUCAGCUAGUUGGUAGUGUAAAAGACUACCAAGGCUAUGACGUCUAGGGGAGGUGAGAGCCUGACCCCCACCGAUGGAACUGAGACACGGUCCAUACUCCUACGGGAGGCCGCAGUCGAGAAUCUUCCGCAAUGGACGAAAGUCUGACGGAGCGACACAGCGUGGUAGAUGAAGUCUUUCGAGAUGUAAAUACCUUUUAUGAGCGAAGAAGUUUAUUGACAUUAACUCAUGAAUAAGGGGCUGCUAAUCACG
RNAcentral lists this ribosomal RNA (445 nucleotides) under uncultured bacterium. RNAcentral describes it as "bacterial SSU rRNA". It matches the Rfam family "Bacterial small subunit ribosomal RNA", at positions 28 to 505 of the family's 1533-position model. The record is from RNAcentral.